Long non-coding RNA from Dreissena polymorpha, 2873 nucleotides. RefSeq lists it as uncharacterized. The record is from RefSeq and is a predicted model, not a curated record. The transcript has 3 exons. NCBI's taxonomy places the organism in Eukaryota, Metazoa, Mollusca, Bivalvia, Myida, Dreissenidae.
AAAACUUGAGAGUAGUUGCCCUUUGUUUACUUAGCAUUUGACAACUCGGAUUUUGCAAAAUGGUUGAAGAAUAAGUUAUUGUUGUAUCUUUUCUUAAUAAAAGCAUUCGAUGAUUACCGUUAUUAGUUUAAGCAUUUAUUGUUGUGUUUCUUUACAAAUGACUUUAUGUUAAACUCAUUCUAUUUUGUGUCGACGUGUACUAAUCGAUGACUUUAAGUGCAGACUGAUUUACCCCACCCGCUAAUGUUGAACUUGUAGUUGUUCUACUUCCAAAUGUUAUGACUGAACAAUACUUUACCUCGAAAUUGUUGAUUAUAACAUCGUGAUCAUGAAAAUGAAUAUGACAUCAUGAUAUUGUUUGUGUUUGCUAUUUUUAAACAAGUUAUUGUAUUGGUGAGUUAAGUAGAUGCUGAGUAAUGGUACCUUAUGUAUUUAAUAAUUGUAGAAAAAUCACCUUAAUUGUUUCUAUAUUGUUCUCAUUUGAUUACAAUGUUGUUCGAUUGGUCAUUGUCAGCUCGGAUACUACUUACCUGUACCCCGGGUACUCUUUAAGUAUACUUACAUGUAGAGCUAACCCUGUUACAGUUAAUAUACUUUAAUAUAGCCGGAAAUUUAAUGCUAAAUGGGUUGUUGUAGGCUUAAUUUUUUUAAUUAUGUUCACAUUAAUGUCAUUUUUUUUCUCAAAUAGUCUUUAUAUCAUCGAAAUUUAUACUCAAAAAGCAUAUUGAUGCAGUUUUUUCAAAAGGUAAGUUUAAUUUAGAUAAACAAUAUGGCUUUACAUUUAUCUGUAGUGCACUGUACCACAUCGAAUUUUGGGCAAUAAUACAACUCCGGUACAGUCUAAUAAGGACCGGGUACGUUUAAGUAUAUAAACCUUACCCGAGGUACAUGCAAGUAUGCUUAAUGAUACCGGGGGUACAUGUAAGUAGUACCCAAGCUGUGAAUAACCAAUCGAGCGUGAGUAAAGUAAAUUGUACCUUAUGUCUUUAAUAAUUGCAGAACAAUUACCUUAAUUAUUUCUAUAUUGUUUCCAUUUGAUUACAAUUUAUUUAUUUGUCAAAUUCAAUUCUGCAGUGCUAUAAAUAUGCACCCCCCAUCCAAAAAAUUUAUUUCGUGCAUAUUGAUGGGGCUUUUUUAUUUAUUUACUCCCUUUUCUUCAUUCCUCCUUUUUGUGUUGGUAAUGUGAACAUGAAAUGAUGAGCACUUUCAUGUUAAUAAACUUUUAUUUUUUUUAUAGAUUUUGGCAUAUUGCAUAUUGCCAAGGGAGAUGUUUACUGAGGAUUCCAUGCCAUUAAUGUGCAGGCUGUUGCUGACGCCAGCAUGAGCAAUAUCUGAGCACCAAUCAUGAGGGUCAUCUGCUGGGAGAUAGUGGGUAUCCGUUAAGGACUAACCUGAUGACCCCUUAACCUCAUCCCUCCCAUUCUGCGGAACAGGCCUACAAUGACCAUCUAUGUAGAGGAUAUCUGCAUGCCACUGGUGGAUGUUGGCCUUUCAAGUCCAAUAAGUGCUGUGAAAUAUCAACUGUGUACAUGCCCCUGCAUAACCUGUGUCUGAAUUCAAACGUUCCACUGAUAGAGGAAUUGGUUGGAAAUGUGAUGGAACCGGAAGUUAUGAACAACACACCAGUACAUUGAGCAGCAUGUGAUAAGAGGCAGCAGCUGAUCAAACUGUUUCAUAAAAUGUGUUAAAAAUUUAUAGUUAUAAAUGUUAUAAAGUGAUAGAUGGCUCGAGUCUUCUCUGAAUAGGCAGAGCUACACUACUCAGCCAAAUGGCGUAAAGUUGUGUCAUAGCUGAUUUGGAAGGAUUGGUAUUCCUGGUCGUCUAGACACAAUAGUUACAACAGCUGAUGUUUGCAUGUUUUAUAAUUGUGUAUGCAUAAUUUGUCUAAUAUUUACUCAAGGUUAUAGGUUUGUGAAAGAAAAAAAUGUCAAUGUUCUGAGGACCAAUAAAAAAAGUCAUGUGUUAGGUAUUACCAAGUGCUUGAUUUAAUAUUUAUUUUAAAGGGAACUUUUCCUAAAUUUUGGCAGAUAUUCAAGUUUUUCAUUAAACGCUUUUAUAUUGAUACAUGUAAACACUGGAUCUAAAAAGCUCCAGUAAAAAAAGAAUACAAUUAAAGAAAGAUAAAAAGUAACUCCUACAGGGCUCAAACCACUGACCCCUGAAAUAAAAGCCUCACACUAAGACCACUUGUCCGUCCAUGUUGAUACAAUGAGUGAUGUAUUUUACACUUUAUAUAAGCAAUCCUUAUCGUGUCACAAAAUAUUACGACAACAACAGAACUCUACAAAUUAUUCAAUCGUCAAGUGUUGCAGCAGAUAGUUGCAACGCUUUAAAAUUUUCAAGUUUUUAAAUCGUCAAAAGUUGCAUAUAAUGGAUAUUUUAGAGCAUGGUAAAUGUUCAGUAUUACUGUUUCCUCACAAAUAUCAUAACUACAACAAAUGUUGCGAAUCUUAAACUUAUUUUUUUUAAUUUAGUCAAUUUACCAAAACUGGAAAAGGUCCCUUGAAUAUUGAACAGUUAUCUGAGCUCCAGAAAAGAUCAUAUACUCAAGGUACUUUUCCCCAUUAACAAUUAUUCAAGUGAUAUUUUACCCACUGACUUUCGCUCUAAAAGGUGUUCUCUGUAAUGAACAUUCUCAAAGCCACAUUAAAACAAGGGCUGUUAGUAAAACAUGCAUGCCCCCCAUUUGGGCUGUCAGUUGUAGUGGCAGUCAUUGUGUGAAUACGUUUUUUGUCACUGUGAACUUGACCUUUGACUUAGUGACCUGAAAAUCAAUAGGAGUCAUCUGCCAGACAUGAUCAAUGUACCUACGAAGUUUCAUAAUCCUAGCUGUUGGCAUUCUUGAGUUACCAUCCGGAAACCAUUUUACUAUU